UACAGGGGGUGCAAACGUUGCUCGGAAUCAUUGGGCGUAAAGCGCACGUAGGCGGUUCGUUAUGUCGGAUGUGAAAUCCCUCGGCUUAACCGGGGAACUGCUUCCGAUACUGGAUGGCUAGAGUGUGGGAGAGGGAUGCGGAAUUCCAGGUGUAGCGGUGAAAUGCGUAGAUAUCUGGAGGAACACCGGUGACGAAGGCGGCAUCCUGGACCACGACUGACGCUGAGUGAGCGAAAGCCAGGGGAGCAAACGGG
RNAcentral lists this ribosomal RNA (254 nucleotides) under uncultured bacterium. RNAcentral's name for it is "partial 16S ribosomal RNA". It matches the Rfam family "Bacterial small subunit ribosomal RNA", at positions 524 to 776 of the family's 1533-position model. The record is from RNAcentral.